Molecule: long non-coding RNA, 1778 nt
Organism: Labrus mixtus (cuckoo wrasse)
Lineage: Eukaryota; Metazoa; Chordata; Actinopteri; Labriformes; Labridae
Exons: 2
Source: RefSeq, a predicted model, not a curated record
AACUCAUGGGAAGAAGAAGUGUGUUAUAGUCAUCACUCUCAUCUCGUACAGAGUUUUAGACUUCAUAUCCUAAAUAAACUGAGCCAUAGAGACCCACAGAUGCUGUUUUAAUCAUGUUACACACAAUCUGCAGCACAUUUGUUAGUUAGAGAGAUAAUCCCUUGGGUCUUGUUACACCCACACCUAUGUCUUUUUUUCUUUGUAGCAGAUGUCUGUACAACAUCACCUCUCGUGUGGCUACUCUUCCCUGCUCCUCCCUACCUCAUUUCCUUGUUUCCCUUUCAGACAGGAAAUAGAUUUUACUUUUGCUUCCUGUAAGCUGCGUGAGAUCUUUCCAAAAUGGGUUAGAAACUAGAUUUGUGACCGGAGAAGGAUGCAGGUUUCUUAUCCCACUACAUCACCUCUACCUAAUUAUCAGACCAGUGAUGUCACUGUCCCGCCCUGUCAACCAACCACAGGCCAGUUGCCAUGGAUACUCCUGGGUGGGCAGCAACUGCUUUCCACAUCAUACAGAAGGAGGAAGAGCAGACAUCUGGUUUUAUGUGUGCUGGAUGUGUAUGCUUUUUUGUGCAUGUGAGUGUGUGUCUAUAUGCAAACACACUGUGUGGGAUAUAAAGAUGGACAAAACAAGAGAUGAAGUGUAACCGCACUAUGUGUUUCUGCAGGAUACUGUGUGCUGUACGGGAUAUGUAGAAAAGUUGAUUUCUAGGUACACUUCUUCUGAGUUUUUCUUUUUUUACAAUUGCACCACAAGUUACUGCUUAUUGUAGAUCUGCUCAAGGUUUCUACCAGUUUAUCAAAAGGAAUAUUUUCUUUCUACGGUUGCCAAAUGAUGCCAAGUGUUUGCUCAUGGUGGAUUAAUGUUGGGUCUCUUAAACUUACAGUACGGUCUAGGCCUGCUCUAUGUUGGGUCUCUGUAGUAUACAUUAUAGAUCUAUAUGAUCCAGACCUACUCUUUUUUGUAAAGUGUCUUGAUAUAACAUAUAAGAACUGACGCGAUACAAAUAUUGAUGUAUUAAUUGAUUGAUUGACCACCAACGCUAAGCCACUCCCUUAUUUGCCCAACUCUCAAACAUAGUACAUCAGUGAAGCUAAUUACAUAUUUAAUAUACAAACAGAUCAACUUUUUGCAAGAAAGCAAGAAGAAUUAAAGUCAAAGUCCUUACCAAAAUCACUUUUUUUUCCCCCAACACAUUUGAGCUUACUUAAGGGCCUUUCAGAUAGGAUGCGGCGAGCUCAGCGCGCACCACGUCCUGAACGGCCCUUUAGACAGAACUUAAUAUUUUAAAGCAGCAGAAGUCAAAGCCACUGAUAAAAGCUGCAUCCUGUUUCUGUAUUCUGUCACUCCUUCUUAUGCACACUGACCCCUUAUAUCUGGAAUAGACUCAGAUGCUGUUACCUGCUUCCUCGUGUUUCUGACCUGACCUGAGGGUUAAACUGUACAGAGGCCAGAGAGGCAAGUUGGAGAAAACAAAAAAACAGAUGUUCUUUUUUUUCCAAGUAUGAUCUCGCUUGCCGUAAGUUUUGUGCCUAAAGUGUUUGUUGUUGUAAUACCUAUUUUGCCCACCAGAGGCUUAAGAGUACAACAACAGAUUUUUUUUUUAAACACGGCCAAAGUCAUUCAUGUUCUUCCAGGUCAGUUCUUAAAUGUCUUUGCAUGUUUUAACCUACCAUAUAUUGUGUCUGAAAGUUAUUUCACAUUACUGUCAUGUCAGGGACACUAAACAAGGGUUUCGCCUGUUUUCAAGGGUAAAAGAAAUUGACUCAAUUUACAUUUU